GGAUGCAAAAGUCGUAACACGGUUUCCGUAGGUGAACCUGCGGAAGGAUCAUUCACACAUUCUGCUUCUCGCGGAGCUGGGGUUUUCUUUCGUCUCUGUCGCUUUUUGGGGCUGGAUGGAGGGAAACUUUGGUGCCGACGGGAUUGGCAGCUACUGAACGAGUUUUGACCAAUCUUUGAAUCGAUUGUUAUUCCUGCACGACGUUAUUUUGUAACGAAGAGAUAUUGAAGAGAUUUAGCCUGUAUUUCAAUGUGGAUAUGCAGGAAUGUGGGGUUUUAUGCUUGGGGGGGUUGUCGGCAGCGGCUUGGGGCUGCAUGCAUGAUCGGCAGCGGUGUGGGGCCGCCUUGCCCGGUCGGCAGCGGUCUGGGGCUGCCUUGGAUGGUCGGCAGCGGUCCGGGGCUGCCUUGCAUUGUCGGCAGCGGUCUGGGGCUGCAUGCGUGCAUGCAGCCCCGUGCAUGCGACAUGCUGCAGUGAAACUGGACAUUUCCGAUAGUGGUAUCCCUUCAGGCAUAUUUUUCCCGCGAGUUUUUUGUUUUCUACAUGCAAAAAAACUUUCAGCAAUGGAUGUCUUGGCUCACGCAUCGAUGAAGGACGCAGCUAGAUGCGAUACGCAUUGUGAAUUGCAGAUUUUAGUGAACCAUCAGAUUUCUGAACGCAUAUGGCGCUUCUGGGAUUUUCCCCGUAGCACGUCUGUUUCAGUGUCUCUUGACUCCUCCAAAAAAUACACUGCGAUAAAAGCAUGAAACAAGGCCUUAUGUGUCUUUGGUUUUUUGCUUUUUUAUGGUGGUAUCGUUUGCGUGUCGCAGCAAUAUGUAUAUUUGCAUGCGUCAUGUGAAGUUGUUUGUGGAUAUACUAUUAUUCACGUAUAAAAGCGGCACAUCGCUUAACUCUAUCCUUUCGUUUACGAAAGAGAUACGGUGGUGUGUAACAACUCUUUUGGAGUUGUGUAUGCUACUAUCUCGGACAAAAGUGAACGAAGGGCGGCAGGUUUUCCUGUUGUGAGUUGUGUGUAUUGUGCUUUUUAUGUGGGUAGUAUUUGUAUAUCCUGCUCCUUCCAUUCAUGAUGGUUUGGAUGUAUUAUUUGUUUUAGACCUGAAAUCAGUCGAGAUUACCCGCUGAAUUUAAGCAUAUUAUUAAGCGGAGGA
Molecule: small RNA, 1145 nt
Filed under: uncultured Eimeria
Lineage: Eukaryota; Apicomplexa; Conoidasida; Eucoccidiorida; Eimeriidae
Description: eukaryotic LSU rRNA
Rfam family: 5.8S ribosomal RNA (bases 550-704)
Source: RNAcentral